RNAcentral lists this ribosomal RNA (1016 nucleotides) under Modicisalibacter zincidurans. RNAcentral's name for it is "bacterial SSU rRNA". It matches the Rfam family "Bacterial small subunit ribosomal RNA", at positions 68 to 1070 of the family's 1533-position model. The record is from RNAcentral. Lineage: Bacteria; Pseudomonadati; Pseudomonadota; Gammaproteobacteria; Oceanospirillales; Halomonadaceae.
GGUAACGGGUCCAAGCUUGCUGGAUGCCCGACGAGCGGCGGACGGGUGAGUAAUGCAUAGGAAUCUGCCCAGUCGUGGGGGAUAACCUGGGGAAACCCAGGCUAAUACCGCAUACGUCCUACGGGAGAAAGCGGGGGCUCUUCGGACCUCGCGCGAUUGGAUGAGCCUAUGUCGGAUUAGCUAGUUGGUGAGGUAACGGCUCACCAAGGCGACGAUCCGUAGCUGGUCUGAGAGGAUGAUCAGCCACACCGGGACUGAGACACGGCCCGGACUCCUACGGGAGGCAGCAGUGGGGAAUAUUGGACAAUGGGCGCAAGCCUGAUCCAGCCAUGCCGCGUGUGUGAAGAAGGCUUUCGGGUUGUAAAGCACUUUCAGUGGGGAAGAAAGCGUGCCGGCCAAUACCCGGUACGGACGACAUCACCCACAGAAGAAGCACCGGCUAACUCCGUGCCAGCAGCCGCGGUAAUACGGAGGGUGCGAGCGUUAAUCGGAAUUACUGGGCGUAAAGCGCGCGUAGGCGGCUAAGUAAGCCGGUUGUGAAAGCCCCGGGCUCAACCUGGGAAUGGCAUCCGGAACUGUUUAGCUAGAGUGCAGGAGAGGAAGGUAGAAUUCCCGGUGUAGCGGUGAAAUGCGUAGAGAUCGGGAGGAAUACCAGUGGCGAAGGCGGCCUUCUGGACUGACACUGACGCUGAGGUGCGAAAGCAUGGGUAGCAAACAGGAUUAGAUACCCUGGUAGUCCAUGCCGUAAACGAUGUCGACUAGCCGUUGGGUCCCUUGAGGACUUAGUGGCGCAGUUAACGCGAUAAGUCGACCGCCUGGGGAGUACGGCCGCAAGGUUAAAACUCAAAUGAAUUGACGGGGGCCCGCACAAGCGGUGGAGCAUGUGGUUUAAUUCGAUGCAACGCGAAGAACCUUACCUACCCUUGACAUCCUGCGAACCCUCCGGAGACGGAGGGGUGCCUUCGGGAACGCAGAGACAGGUGCUUGCAUGGGCUUUCCGCCAGCUCGUGUUGUGA